UGGCGGCGUGCCUAAUACAUGCAAGUAGAACGCUGAAGCUUGGUGCUUGCACCGAGCGGAUGAGUUGCGAACGGGUGAGUAACGCGUAGGUAACCUGCCUCUUAGCGGGGGAUAACUAUUGGAAACGAUAGCUAAUACCGCAUAAAAGUCGAUAUCGCAUGAUAUUGAUUUGAAAGGUGCAAAUGCAUCACUAAGAGAUGGACCUGCGUUGUAUUAGCUAGUUGGUGAGGUAACGGCUCACCCAGGCGACGAUACAUAGCCGACCUGAGAGGGUGAUCGGCCACACUGGGACUGAGACACGGCCCAGACUCCUACGGGAGGCAGCAGUAGGGAAUCUUCGGCAAUGGGGGCAACCCUGACCGAGCAACGCCGCGUGAGUGAAGAAGGUUUUCGGAUCGUAAAGCUCUGUUGUAAGAGAAGAACGAGUGUGAGAGUGGAAAGUUCACGCUGUGACGGUAUCUUACCAGAAAGGGACGGCUAACUACGUGCCAGCAGCCGCGGUAAUACGUAGGUCCCGAGCGUUAUCCGGAUUUAUUGGGCGUAAAGCGAGCGCAGGCGGUUAGAUAAGUCUGAAGUUAAAGGCUGUGGCUUAACCAUAGUACGCUUUGGAAACUGUUUAACUUGAGUGCAGAAGGGGAGAGUGGAAUUCCAUGUGUAGCGGUGAAAUGCGUAGAUAUAUGGAGGAACACCGGUGGCGAAAGCGGCUCUCUGGUCUGUAACUGACGCUGAGGCUCGAAAGCGUGGGGAGCAAACAGGAUUAGAUACCCUGGUAGUCCACGCCGUAAACGAUGAGUGCUAGGUGUUGGGUCCUUUCCGGGGCUCAGUGCCGCAGCUAACGCAUUAAGCACUC
Molecule: ribosomal RNA, 850 nt
Filed under: uncultured Streptococcus sp.
Lineage: Bacteria; Bacillati; Bacillota; Bacilli; Lactobacillales; Streptococcaceae
Description: bacterial SSU rRNA
Rfam family: Bacterial small subunit ribosomal RNA
Source: RNAcentral